Ctenopharyngodon idella (grass carp) is the source of this 802-nucleotide long non-coding RNA. RefSeq lists it as uncharacterized. The record is from RefSeq and is a predicted model, not a curated record. The transcript is spliced from 3 exons. NCBI's taxonomy places the organism in Eukaryota, Metazoa, Chordata, Actinopteri, Cypriniformes, Xenocyprididae.
AGGCAAGGGGAGAGAGUGAAAAAAGAACAACUGAAUUGAAAGGGAAACAAAAGAAACUCUCCCAGAGCAGUCCUAUAAAACUGAUUGAUGACUUCCCUGGAGGACUGUUUCCCAGGUGUAUGGCUGUGUGUGCCCAUGUUUUUAAGUUUGACUGGGGAACUACAACACACGAAAGUGUCUGCUGGAUCUAUUACACCAUGUGAUAUUGAAAGCAGGUUGGAGAAGGUCCAGGCAUUGAGUGUUGGAGAGAAGUGAGCGGCAAGAGCAAAUGUCACCAAAAAAAAAGUUGUAGAGAAUCCAGAGAGAUAUUACUGGGAGGAGUUUGCUGAAUAAAGAAUUUUCUAACCCUAAUGACUAUUUGAUUUUUUUUUUUUUUUUUUUUUUUUUUUUUUUUUUUGUGGAAAUCAAAUAUGCUUUAUCCUGUUAACAAACAAACUUGCAGUCCUUUACAGUUAAAAUGCAUAAACAGACUAGUGAUGUCUUCAGGACUGCUCAGGGACAGUCACAUUAUCCCCAUAAAUAAUGUGCAGGCUUGCAGAAUGGUUUCUUUUCAAAAAGUGCAAAGUGCUACACUGAUUUGGUAUUCAAUGCUUGCAUUAAAGGCAGAUGUUCACUCUGACAUUGAAUUAUGUGAUGCAGAUAUAGUACUGAUCAAGAAAAAAGGAAGAAUGAUGUGUGCUACAUAUAGUACAAAAGUGACCUAUAUGCAUAUGGACAGGAAUAAAUGACCAAGAACAAAAGCACUGUACUGGUGGUAAGUCAUACAUGUGUGAUUAAUAAUGUUUAAAAGAAUGUGUAGUAA